RNAcentral lists this unclassified non-coding RNA (4634 nucleotides) under Polistes fuscatus (common paper wasp). RNAcentral describes it as "la-related protein 1B-like, transcript variant X1". The record is from RNAcentral. Lineage: Eukaryota; Metazoa; Arthropoda; Insecta; Hymenoptera; Vespidae.
CGAUUCAAGAUGGCGGCAAAAGUGGUCAGCAGCAGCAGCGCUCAGGGAAGCACAGAGCGAGAGGAGGGAGGCUCUGGUGUAUCCUACGCUAGCGUGGUCAAUCCCAAAGCAGCCUCGAACGAGACUAAUACCGCUAGAGUAGUUUCCUCGAAUAAAGGAAAUAAUAAAGAAAAUAUAGGAGGCCAAAUUGCGAGCCAACAAUCCAAUGGAACUAAAGAGCGUAUGGUUUCCCAAAAUUAUGCUGCCAAAGGUAAAUCGUAUCAGAGGACUGGAAGACGAUUUGCCUCAUCCACGCAACCACAGCAAACGCAGCAACUUAGAGUAGAUAAAAGUCACAACGAGUUACAAUUAGGUAGCAACGUAUCGGACAAAUCUUCUACGAUUAAAGAAACCGAGCAACGAUCUCAACCUCAAGCAGAUGUAAGUACUGCGCCAAUAUUAAAGCAAGAUAAAUUAAAUAAUGGGGAUAUUGGAAGCGACGGAGAGUUUCAAACCGUUGCUCCUAAGAGUGCUCGGAGGAAAGAAAAAUUAAGAGAACACCAACAAAAAGAUCACGGAGAUCGCCAUCGGCAUAAGGAUCACAGAAAAAGAUUGCGCGGACUUAGCGACUCUAGUAGAGAAAGAAUGACAAAGGACAAAGAACGAACCGAUAGAAAUAGCACGGAACACGCUAUUAACAAUAAAGAAAUUAAUAAAGACAAGGAUACUAAAGAAGACGGUCAAGCCCAAACACCUGCCCCGAUGAAGUAUGUAGCGGCUCCCAUACCUGCGGUCAAUGCUUGGACUAAAAAGAAGCCUCUUCAAUCCUCCGUUCAACAAUCCGUAACUACUCCUAGCGCUAUGGACAAACCAGUUACAAAAGAGAAAAGAAUAUUACAACCUCAGCAACAGCGAGUACAAGGGUUAAUAGAAAAUGGAUCAUCGAUCUCCGCCGAAUCGUCGAAACCAGCGAUAAUUAAAGUUAGCAAAGAAAAGAAGAAGAUUAAUGCAAAGGCGAGCGAUUUUACGGAUAUCGGAGAUUGGCCAACGUUGGGACCUCAAGACAAAAAGACGACUGCUGUGACAAUUCAAAAACAAAAUGGCGUUACCGAGCCAAGUAAUACUAAAGAAAUUAGUGGCCACUCGAUUGAAAUAAAAUCCAAAGAAAAUAAAGAGCAGCAGCACAAUCAUUGCCAAGACGACAGCGAUGAGCUCACGGAUAACGGUAAUGAUAAAAGAAGAAAGUUUAAUAAACAGAAAUGGGUUCCCCUCGACAUAGAUAUCACAAAAAAUAGAGGGAAGAGGGAACGUUCGCCGAGAUACAACCCAAGAGAUAGAUACAACGAAGAUGGAGAAGCCUGGAGAGAUAAAGAAUACGAUAGUAGGUCAGGAUCCAGUAUUAGGGGUGGCUCGUAUACACGAGGUGGCCGAAGUUUUAGGGGUAGAGGACGCGGUGGACGCGGUAGCGCUACGCCUCGUAAUAAUUUUAGGCAUAGAUACGAUAACGAUUAUUCUAAUUAUGACGUAGAUUACGUGAAAUACGAGAAUCAAGAUUUAAAUCAAGAUAAAUCGAGAUAUAUAGCGCCGGCAUACGCAGAAGAAGCGAUGUUUUACGAAAAUAAUUAUAUUCAACAGGACUCCUCCAUUUUUAUGGAAGAAUUAAAAGAAUUAAUAAGAAAACAAAUAGAAUACUACUUCAGCGAAGAGAAUCUAAUAAGUGACAUUUAUUUGAGACGUAAAAUGGAUGAAGAAGGAUUCUUGCCCAUUACGUUGAUAGCAUCCUUUCGUCGGAUUCAAAGCAUGACGGAGGAUUUGAGCUUAGUGAUCAAUUCUAUUACGAAAUCGGAUAAAUUGGAAUUGGUUCAAGGAUACAUGAUAAGAACCAGAAUCGAUCCAUUGAGGUGGCCUUUACCGGAUAUAAUUAGCAAUUCAACUUGUACUGAUACGCAAAACGAAAAUAUGAACGAGUCUGAAUUUUAUCCUUGUUCGAAAUCCAUGAUAUCGGUCACGCGUCCGCCUGCACCUCAGCAAAUCUAUCGAUCUUGUUACCAAUCACGAUCGACAAUAGGAAGAGUAAACGAAUUAGAAAAUACCUUAGUGACUACGGGGGGUGAUAGUCUCAAUCCGAAUGUGCCUGAAUUUGUACCCGUAGACAUUUCGAGUAAACUGAUUGCGAGUAAACAAGUCGAUCUAGAGGAAAUUGAUCAACCGCCGACGAACAUUGAAAUGAUCGAUAAAACGGUCGCUGAAAUAGUCGAUGAAGUACCAAUAAAUUCUAUGCUUUUUGGGCCGUCGAGUAAUGAAGAAUUGUCUCUGCCAUCGACUAACGAAUCCAAUAGCAGCGAAUCGACGAUCAUUUUGAACGAUAAAACGCGUACCGAGGAUUCUACUUUAGAGAAAGUACAAAUCAACGAUGAAAAGGCACCAUCGUCUUCCUUCAAAUCCGAUAACACUUGGAAAGAGGUCAAAAGAAGAACAAAGCAUUCACAUAAAGAUGGAGUAAAAGGAUCCGAGGAAAAAGGAAAAGUUAAUAGUGGUAUUCGUAAGAAUGAGCAACGAGAGGAAUUAGAAUUCCAAUUUGACGAAGAAUUGGAUACACCACCUCCAACUGGACGGCACAAUGCUUUUUCCGAAUGGUCGGAGGACGAGGAAGAAGAUAACGAAUUAUCGGACAGAGAUAUUAACAAAUUGUUAAUAGUUACGCAAAUGACUGUUCCCAAUUCAUCGAGAUUACCUAAACACGAAGGGUAUGAUCGUACCGGUGAUUGGACAACUAGAGUCAAAAUGACUCAGGAUCUCGAACAAGCGAUCAAUGAUGGAUUGCGUUAUUACGAAAAGGGUUUAUGGAGUGGAGAUGGGCAAAGGUAUGGAUCGUCAUCCUCUAUUAACAAUUACAAGACCGUCAAUGUAAUCAGUCAAGAGGAUUUUGAAAAAAUGGCACCGAAACCUCCAAGAAAAGCCAAUCCCGAAGUUCCGCCACCGCCACCGUCUGCCGUUGAGGAAGACGACUUGGAUAUUUCGCAGUCUCCUCCGAUUCGAGUUCCUACUUCUUCGGAUAGCUCGAAUAAAAGGGAAAAAAUGAAUGAGAAAAAUUAUUGGAACGAUCAAGCGAAAAAUGAUAUAAAUGAAAGACGUGGUACAGUUCCAAGAUUCUUUGCAGUCGUGAAAGACGAAUCAUCGGUUGAUUUGAGAACGCCGCGUAAACGAAAGACUCGACACAGUAAUAAUCCUCCCGUUGAACAUCACGUUGGUUGGAUAAUGGACGUUAGGGAACAUCGUCCGCGUACUUACUCCACUGGAAGUAGUACUGGAACGAGUCCUAGCGAGGCCUUCAUCGCCGGUAGCGUUCCUCAAUCUUUGCCGACAUUCCAACAUCCGAGUCACGCCCUGUUGAAAGAAAAAGGAUUUACUCAACAGGUCUAUCACAAAUAUCACUCGCGCUGUUUAAAAGAACGGAAAAGAUUAGGGAUCGGACAAUCUCAAGAAAUGAAUACUCUGUUUCGCUUCUGGUCCUUCUUCUUGCGACAAAACUUUAAUCGUGCCAUGUACGAGGAAUUUAGAAAUUUAGCCAAAGAAGAUGCCUUAGAGGGUUACCGUUAUGGACUCGAGUGUCUAUUUCGAUUUUAUAGUUACGGUCUGGAGAUCAAAUUCAGAUCUAUGCUGUAUCAAGAUUUUCAAUUAGAGACGAUAGAUGAUUACGAGCGUGGUCAAUUGUAUGGCUUAGAGAAGUUUUGGGCUUUCUUAAAAUAUUAUAAAAAUUCUGCCAAUCUUUACAUCGAUUCGCAAUUACAAGAAUAUCUGUCCAAAUUCAAUAGCAUCGAGGACUUUAGAGUCGAAGAGCCUCAAAUUAAUGAGAUGCUUCAAGGAUUUUCGAUAAAUGCUCGACCACUCGGAUCGAAAAAACGUAAUAGAAGCCUUUCCGAGAGUGGAAGUGGAUAUUUAAGCGUAGGUGCAGUUGCAGUCCCAGGUGCAAGUGGAAGUGCAAGUGGGAGUAGUGUCGUCGAUAGUGCUUCGAUAAGACGAAACUCUGGUGAUUCUUGUGCUGCGGUUACGUUAGCAACAACUUCUAAUGCCGCCGAUGCUACCAACAAUCAAAAGACGCGCAUGGACAUGGAUAAUAAUUCAUCGCAUGUUCGUAGUAGAGCGUGUUCUUUUGGUUCUGGAAGGAUGGGACAUUCAAGACGAAAGAAUGAUUCAGGUGCAUCGUCGAAUAGUAGUCAGCGUGAAGUAAAUAAUAAGCAGCAUCAAACGAGAAGUAGACCAAAUUCUUGUUCUCUCUCUAAUAAGUCUUACGAGACGAGUAAAGUUUUAAGCACUGCCAAAAAUCAAUCUAUUAACAAGAACGAACAGAAGCCUUGAACUUGAAAUACUUCAUCGUCGAUGCAUUAGAGAUGAUCAAUUUAUUUAUAACCGUAUCUAUGAAGCAUCAUUUUUCUACCGAAACAUCGAUGAAGGAAAAGAGAUACGAGAACUUUGACGGUUCGUUGCUAAGCCAACCAAGGAACGUGCUGUGAAAAAUAUAACCGAUGAAAGGUGCCGCGGCGCAAUUUUGAUGAAACUUUCGCUUGUAAAUAUUUUUGCCGAACCGUUAUUAUUAUAUAUUGCGUAUAUGCCUUUCUUGUGUUAAAUUGACUAAUACGAAUUAAAAUGAAAAA